This 1276-nucleotide ribosomal RNA is filed under the name human gut metagenome. RNAcentral describes it as "bacterial LSU rRNA". It matches the Rfam family "Bacterial large subunit ribosomal RNA", at positions 1216 to 2472 of the family's 2925-position model. The record is from RNAcentral.
CGAUCUGAAUCGGUAGGGGAGCUUCCCAUGGGCGGCGAAGCCGCCGGGCGACCGGCGGUGGAGCGCAUGGGAGUGAGAAUGCUGGCAUGAGUAGCGAGAGACGAGAGAGUAACUCGUCCGCCGUGAACCCGAGGUUUCCUGGGCAAGGCUAAUCCUCCCAGGGUCAGUCGGGGGCUAAGGCGAGGCCGGGAGGCGUAGCCGACGCGCAGCAGGCAGACAUUCCUGCACCGCGCACGCGGCGCUACGACCGACGGGGCGACGGAUGGGGGUGGCUCGGCGGGGUUCUGGACGUCCCCGUGAUGGAGCGCGGCCCGCGGACCAGGGAAAUCCGGUCCGCACGAGGGCGAGGCUCCGGACGAAGCGAUCAAGCGAAGCGAGUGAGCCCGAGGUCCCUAGAAAAACCCCUAGGCAGGCGCGUGCGCGCCCGUACCGCAAACCGACACAGGUGGGUGGGUAGAACAUACCGAGGCGAUCGGGUCAACCAUGGUCAAGGAACUCGGCACAAUGGCCCCGUAACUUCGGGAGAAGGGGUGCCCGCGCGUACGUGAACGGACUUGCUCCGGGAGCGGAGGCGGGCCGCAGUGGAGAGGCCCAAGCGACUGUUUACCAAAAACACAGGACUCUGCAGAAGCCGCAAGGCGACGUAUAGGGUCUGACGCCUGCCCGGUGCCGGAAGGUCACGCGGAGGAGUUAGCCGCAAGGCGAAGCCCCGAAGCCAAGCCCCGGUAAACGGCGGCCGUAACUAUAACGGUCCUAAGGUAGCGAAAUUCCUUGUCGGGUAAGUUCCGACCUGCACGAAAGGCGCAACGACUUGGGCGCUGUCUCGACCAUGGACCCGGUGAAAUUGCACUGGUCGUGAAGAUGCGACUUACCCGCGGAAGGACGGAGAGACCCCGUGAACCUUCACUGCAGCUUGGCAUUGGCCGCUGGUCCCGCGUGUAGAGGAUAGGCAGGAGGCACAGAUCCGGAGGCGCCAGCCCCCGGGGAGCCGCCCUUGGAAUACUGCCCUCGCGCGACCGGCGUCCUAACCCGAGGCCGUCAACCGGCUCGGGGACCGUGCCAGGCGGGCAGUUUGACUGGGGCGGUCGCCUCCUAAAGAGUAACGGAGGCGCGCGAAGGUCCGCUCGGGACGGUCGGCAACCGUCCUUUUGAAUGCAAGAGUACAAGCGGGCUUGACUGCGAGGCCCACAAGCCGAGCAGGUGCGAAAGCAGGCUCUAGUGAUCCGGCGGCCCCGAGUGGGUGGGCCGUCGCUCAACGGAUAAAAGGUACUCCGGG